CAUAUUGUUCGCUUUUAAAAAUGCCUUCCCUUGUUCAAGGAGGAGCCACAGCCUCAUCCUCUGAUGGCUCAGCCUAAGCAGUUUUCCCACAAUAGCACUCUGUGUUGCCAGAUACCUAGGAAGGGAGGUGCUGACCCAAGACUGUUUGUGAUGGGGACAGGGAUGGCACUUGCAUCCUGUCUGGAAGGCUGGUGGGUUAUGCAGACCCUAGCUGCUGUCUCUGCUGGUUGUGAGAAGUCGUUGCAAACUCCAUUGUCCCGAGGAGGCCGGUGCUGCCACUUCUCCCUGUGUGCACACACACAUGCACAAGCAUAUGCACACACACUUGAGAACACACACCCAUGCACACACACACACAAGCAUGUGCACACAUGCACACCCAUGCUCAUGCACACACUCAUGCAUGCACACCCACAUACACUCAGGGUCCCCGUCACCAAGUUCAGGUCCACACAAGGUGGUCACUGUCCUGUGCCCUCCAAGAUGAGCCUGUGAGAUGGAGGUGACAGGCCAUUCAUCUUCUGAUAAAUCCCAGGCUUGGGACCAGCAGGAUCCCUCAAGUUUCCCACAGCUGUGGGGCAGGGGUCUGGUGUUCUUACUGGAUAAAAUAUACGCCACACACUUUCCUGA
RNAcentral lists this long non-coding RNA (630 nucleotides) under Rattus norvegicus (Norway rat). RNAcentral describes it as "long non-coding RNA NONRATT008074". Lineage: Eukaryota; Metazoa; Chordata; Mammalia; Rodentia; Muridae. The record is from RNAcentral.